RNAcentral lists this ribosomal RNA (511 nucleotides) under uncultured Peptococcaceae bacterium. Its description in RNAcentral is "bacterial SSU rRNA". It matches the Rfam family "Bacterial small subunit ribosomal RNA", at positions 46 to 507 of the family's 1533-position model. Lineage: Bacteria; Bacillati; Bacillota; Clostridia; Eubacteriales; Peptococcaceae. The record is from RNAcentral.
GCCUAACACAUGCGAAGUCGAACGGAGUUAUUAGUUCAGAAGUUACUUCGGGAGUGGAAGGAUAAGAACUUAGUGGCGGACGGGUGAGGUAACGACGUGGGUAACCUUGGCCCGUUUUGUGGGGAACCGAACUUACGAGAAAUCGGAAGCUAAUACCGCAUAAUAAUAGAGGAUCGCACGAUCUUUAGGAAAGAUGGCCUCUGAAGAUGCUAUCGCAAAGGAUGGACCCGCGUCUGAUUAGCUAGUUGGAAGGUAACGGCCUACCAAGGCAACGAUCAGUAGCCGGCCUGAGAGGGUGAACGGCCACAUUGGGACUGAGACACGGCCCAAACUCCUACGGGAGGCAGCAGUGGGGAAUCUUCCGCAACGGGCGAAAGCCUGACGGAGCAAUGCCGCGUGAGUGAAGAAGGCCUUCGGGUUGUAAAACUCUGUCCUUAUCGAAGAGAGGUAGGUAUGUGAAUAAUGUACCUAUAGGACGGUAGAUAAGGAGGAAGCCCCGGCUAACUACGUG